AGAGUUUGAUUAUGGCUCAGAUUGAACGCUGGCGGCGUGCUUAACACAUGCAAGUCGCGCGUGAAAGGACUUCGGUCCGAGUAAAGCGGCGCACGGGUGAGUAACGCGUGGAUGAUCUACCCAUGAGUUAGGAAUAACGGCUGGAAACGGUCGCUAAUACCAAAUACGCUCCGAUUUCAACUUCGGGGGAAAGGUGGCCUCUGCUUGCAAGCUACUGCUCAUGGAUGAGUCCGCGUCCCAUUAGCUAGUUGGUGGGGUAACGGCCCACCAAGGCGACGAUGGGUAGCCGGUCUGAGAGGAUGACCGGCCACACUGGGACUGGAACACGGCCCAGACUCCUACGGGAGGCAGCAGUGGGGAAUAUUGCGCAAUGGGCGAAAGCCUGACGCAGCGACGCCGCGUGAAGGGAUGAAGGUCCUCGGAUCGUAAACCUCUGUCAGGAGGGAAGAACCGCCACGGUGCUAAUCAGCCGUGGUCUGACGGUACCCCCAAAGGAAGCACCGGCUAACUCCGUGCCAGCCGCCGC
RNAcentral lists this ribosomal RNA (526 nucleotides) under uncultured bacterium. Its description in RNAcentral is "bacterial SSU rRNA". It matches the Rfam family "Bacterial small subunit ribosomal RNA", at positions 8 to 518 of the family's 1533-position model. The record is from RNAcentral.